AUGGAUAAGAAAUGACGCUCGCGACUA
RNAcentral lists this small RNA (27 nucleotides) under Bombyx mori (domestic silkworm). Its description in RNAcentral is "ovarian small RNA-12618". Lineage: Eukaryota; Metazoa; Arthropoda; Insecta; Lepidoptera; Bombycidae. The record is from RNAcentral.